GACGCGGUCAGCUAAACAAGCUAUCGGGUCCAUACCCCGAGUAUGAUGGUUAAACCCCAUCCCAUGUCA
RNAcentral lists this transfer RNA (69 nucleotides) under Pectenocypris balaena. Its description in RNAcentral is "tRNA-Met". Lineage: Eukaryota; Metazoa; Chordata; Actinopteri; Cypriniformes; Danionidae. The record is from RNAcentral.